GGAGUGAGGAAAAAUCAAUUUAAGGAGUUUUAAGCGAACGAGGUUGAGCAGUGAUGACGGCGGGCGGUGUUGAGCAUAGACGAUGAAGAUCCUUCGAUAGAAUAGUACUUGGAUGCGUCGUGUCUCCAUACACGAUGUCAUCUGCUCUUGACUCUUCCGCUGCAAUGUAAAAGUCGAGAUUUCAUUCUCUUGUACCAUGCACUCUGAUUUUUAUAUAUAUUCCAAGUUAUUUCAGUUCAA
Molecule: non-coding RNA, 240 nt
Organism: Salvia hispanica
Lineage: Eukaryota; Viridiplantae; Streptophyta; Magnoliopsida; Lamiales; Lamiaceae
Source: RefSeq, a predicted model, not a curated record